UAGUCAUAUGCUUGUCUCAAAGAUUAAGCCAUGCAUGUCUAAGUAUAAGCGACUUGUACUGUGAAACUGCGAAUGGCUCAUUAAAUCAGUUAUGGUUUAUUUGAUGGUACCUUACUACUUGGAUAACCGUAGUAAUUCUAGAGCUAAUACAUGCAGGAUCGCCCGACUUCGGAAGGGCUGUAUUUAUUAGAUAAGAAACCAACCCGCUUCUGCGGUUGCGUGCUGAGUCACAAUAACUGCUCGAAUCGCACGGCCUUGUGCCGGCGAUGGUUCAUUCAAAUUUCUGCCCUAUCAGCUUUCGAUGGUAGGAUCGAGGCCCACCAUGGCGUUAACGGGUAACGGAGAAUUAGGGUUCGAUUCCGGAGAGGGAGCCUGAGAAAUGGCUACCACAUCCAAGGAAGGCAGCAGGCGCGUAAAUUGCCCGAAUCCUGACACAGGGAGGUAGUGACAAGAAAUAACAAUACAGGGCCACUUUGGUCUUGUAAUUGGAAUGAGUACAAUUUACAUCUCUUCACGAGGAUCAAU
RNAcentral lists this ribosomal RNA (525 nucleotides) under uncultured eukaryote. RNAcentral's name for it is "SSU rRNA". It matches the Rfam family "Eukaryotic small subunit ribosomal RNA", at positions 21 to 548 of the family's 1831-position model. The record is from RNAcentral.